RNAcentral lists this ribosomal RNA (640 nucleotides) under uncultured Alphaproteobacteria bacterium. Its description in RNAcentral is "bacterial SSU rRNA". It matches the Rfam family "Bacterial small subunit ribosomal RNA", at positions 73 to 755 of the family's 1533-position model. The record is from RNAcentral. Lineage: Bacteria; Pseudomonadati; Pseudomonadota; Alphaproteobacteria.
CGCUCCGCAAGGGGAGUGGCAGACGGGUGAGUAACGCGUGGGAACGUACCCCUCGGUUCGGAAUAACUCAGGGAAACUUGAGCUAAAACCGGAUACGGCCGAGAGGCGAAAGAUUUAUCGCCGGGGGAUCGGCCCGCGUCCGAUUAGCUAGUUGGUGAGGUAACGGCUCACCAAGGCGACGAUCGGUAGCUGGUCUGAGAGGAUGAUCAGCCACAUUGGGACUGAGACACGGCCCAAACUCCUACGGGAGGCAGCAGUGGGGAAUAUUGGACAAUGGGCGAAAGCCUGAUCCAGCCAUGCCGCGUGAGUGAUGAAGGCCUUAGGGUUGUAAAGCUCUUUCGUCAGGGACGAUAAUGACGGUACCUGAAGAAGAAGCCCCGGCUAACUUCGUGCCAGCAGCCGCGGUAAUACGAAGGGGGCUAGCGUUGUUCGGAAUCACUGGGCGUAAAGCGCAUGUAGGCGGGUCUCUAAGUCAGGGGUGAAAUGCCAAGGCUCAACCUUGGAACUGCCUUUGAUACUGGAGACCUUGAGUCCGGGAGAGGUGAGUGGAACUGCGAGUGUAGAGGUGAAAUUCGUAGAUAUUCGCAAGAACACCAGUGGCGAAGGCGGCUCACUGGCCCGGUACUGACGCUGAGAUGCG